GAUGAACGCCGGCGGCGUGCUUAACACAUGCAAGUCGAACGAGAAGUGAAGACGGAAACCUUCGGGCGGAAGGCUUUAUUUCGAGUGGCGGACGGGUGAGUAACGCGUGGGUAACCUGCCUCAUACAGGGGGAUAACAGUUGGAAACGACUGUUAAUACCGCAUAAGACCACAGCACCGCAUGGUGCGGGGGUAAAAACUCCGGUGGUAUGAGAUGGACCCGCGUUCGAUUAGCCAGUUGGCGGGGUAACGGCCCACCAAAGCGACGAUCGAUAGCCGAUCUGAGAGGAUGACCGGCCACAUUGGGACUGAGACACGGCCCAAACUCCUACGGGAGGCAGCAGUGGGGAAUAUUGCACAAUGGGGGAAACCCUGAUGCAGCGACGCCGCGUGAGUGAAGAAGUAUUUCGGUAUGUAAAGCUCUAUCAGCAGGGAAGAAAAUGACGGUACCUGAGUAAGAAGCCCCGGCUAACUACGUG
This 478-nucleotide ribosomal RNA is filed under the name uncultured bacterium. RNAcentral describes it as "partial 16S ribosomal RNA". It matches the Rfam family "Bacterial small subunit ribosomal RNA", at positions 28 to 507 of the family's 1533-position model. The record is from RNAcentral.